AACUAAUAACAAAAAAUGAGAAAUAAGAAGAUCGAUUAGGUUAGUUUACUUAAGACAUAUCUUUCUCUCUUCUUUUUCUUUCUUUCUUUCUUCUUCUUCUCCGACUUGAGUAUAUCGGGGACGGAGACGAGAAGCCGGCAACUGUAGUGGCCAAUCGUGAAUGAGAUCGAGAGCUUUUGACUCCCGUCGCUGAUUCCGGCGACAAGGACGAUGGUUCUUCUUCUUCGCAUCAAUCCAGCCACGAGAUCACUGGCAGCUCCAACUCGAUUUCUAAAUCAUCCUCCAUGACCUCACAAGCUUGUCUACUUCAUAAACAGCUCAAAGAUGAAAGAUGCGUUGAAGAUUUGGUGCAAGCUGCUACUCCACACCAAGUAUCCUCUUACAUCGCACUCAUCUUUCCUGCAAAUCAAUCAGACAUUUAAAACUUCGUUUUCAGGUGGGUUUCCAUAGAUGUCUUUAAGAUACAGUGCCAAUUUCCUGAGUUUUCAGGAGCUAUGAUUUCAAGCAUAUUCAAGAAAGAAGAAUAUAUGUACAGUGUAGAAAACACGUUUCAUCAAGCUUCUUAAUUCUCUUAGUGUGAUGUUCUUUAAUGGAAUGUAAAAUACUAAUUAGUCAAUUUCUUCUUGUUCGUGCAAUUUCUUAUGUGAAACCCCCAUCAGUUUGCAAGCAA
Molecule: long non-coding RNA, 670 nt
Organism: Camelina sativa (false flax)
Lineage: Eukaryota; Viridiplantae; Streptophyta; Magnoliopsida; Brassicales; Brassicaceae
Source: RefSeq, a predicted model, not a curated record